GACGAACGCUGGCGGCGUGUCUAAUACAUGCAAGUUGAGCGAUGAAGAUUGGUGCUUGCACCAAUUUGAAGAGCAGCGAACGGGUGAGUAACGCGUGGGGAAUCUGCCUUUGAGCGGGGGACAACAUUUGGAAACGAAUGCUAAUACCGCAUAACAACUUUAAACAUAAGUUUUAAGUUUGAAAGAUGCAAUUGCAUCACUCAAAGAUGAUCCCGCGUUGUAUUAGCUAGUUGGUGAGGUAAAGGCUCACCAAGGCGAUGAUACAUAGCCGACCUGAGAGGGUGAUCGGCCACAUUGGGACUGAGACACGGCCCAAACUCCUACGGGAGGCAGCAGUAGGGAAUCUUCGGCAAUGGACGAAAGUCUGACCGAGCAACGCCGCGUGAGUGAAGAAGGUUUUCGGAUCGUAAAACUCUGUUGGUAGAGAAGAACGUUGGUGAGAGUGGAAAGCUCAUCAAGUGACGGUAACUACCCAGAAAGGGACGGCUAACUACGUG
Molecule: ribosomal RNA, 497 nt
Filed under: uncultured bacterium
Lineage: Bacteria
Description: partial 16S ribosomal RNA
Rfam family: Bacterial small subunit ribosomal RNA
Source: RNAcentral